GACGAACGCUGGCGGCGUGCUUAGCACAUGCAAGUCGAACGGAAAGGCCCUGCUUUUGUGGGGUGCUCGAGUGGCGAACGGGUGAGUAACACGUGAGUAACCUGCCCUUGACUUUGGGAUAACUUCAGGAAACUGGGGCUAAUACCGGAUAGGAGCUCCUGCUGCAUGGUGGGGGUUGGAAAGUUUCGGCGGUUGGGGAUGGACUCGCGGCUUAUCAGCUUGUUGGUGGGGUAGUGGCUUACCAAGGCUUUGACGGGUAGCCGGCCUGAGAGGGUGACCGGCCACAUUGGGACUGAGAUACGGCCCAGGCUCCUACGGGAGGCAGCAGUGGGGAAUAUUGCACAAUGGGCGGAAGCCUGAUGCAGCAACGCCGCGUGCGGGAUGACGGCCUUCGGGUUGUAAACCGCUUUCGCCUGUGACGAAGCGUGAGUGACGGUAAUGGGUAAAGAAGCACCGGCUAACUACGUG
Molecule: ribosomal RNA, 468 nt
Filed under: uncultured bacterium
Lineage: Bacteria
Description: partial 16S ribosomal RNA
Rfam family: Bacterial small subunit ribosomal RNA
Source: RNAcentral